AUCCAGCUGACGAGUCCCAAAUAGGACGAAGUGACGCGCGCCUUGAAU
Schistosoma rodhaini is the source of this 48-nucleotide non-coding RNA. Lineage: Eukaryota; Metazoa; Platyhelminthes; Trematoda; Strigeidida; Schistosomatidae. The record is from Rfam.